Molecule: long non-coding RNA, 639 nt
Filed under: Sus scrofa (pig)
Lineage: Eukaryota; Metazoa; Chordata; Mammalia; Artiodactyla; Suidae
Description: lncRNA (ENSSSCG00070017534.1)
Source: RNAcentral
AUGCUGUUUAUCUACAGGCCUCACUUUGAGCACCAAGACGUUAGACACGAUGACACUGUGGAUUUUAAUAAGUCAGCUUGGAUUCUCAGUGGAAUAGCGGGACCUGAUGGUGCCUUUGGAAAGCAGUUUCAGAGGGACGCGGGUAAAGAAGACACCAGCCAAGGAAUGGCCCCUUGGGGGGCCAGCAAAUGCUUCAAAAAGACAGACUGGCCUCCUGAGUCCAGAGCUGAUGCACGUCGAGGCCGUCAAGGAAGGUGUCCAGAGUCUCGAAAAGGCUGCUGUGAGAAGCAGGCAAGGGUCCCGCUCUCGGAGUUCGUUCUGUGCAACUCUGCUUUCAGCGGCUUUCGGCAUUGGGCAUCUGCUCCUGUUUUGCUGAAAGUCAAGAAGAGUCCAAAGCUUAAAAAAAGGCCAGAUUUCUUUCAGGAUCUUUUCCCCAGAUGUUCCAAGAGAGGCCUGUGCAUUGCUCCAGCAUGCUGCCCUCGGCUGCCCUCUUAUCGUCUCCAAAUAAGACUGAGUGCUUUUAGGAAGAGGGUUUCUUUCUUUCUUUUUUGUUUUCAUGCGCAGCUCAUGAACGUUCCCAGGUCGAAUCAGAGCUGCAACCGCCAGCCUGCACCACAGCCUCGGCAACACCAGAUCUGA